This 99-nucleotide transfer RNA is filed under the name Siphoviridae sp. ctfbh2. Its description in RNAcentral is "tRNA-Asn". It matches the Rfam family "tRNA". Rfam says of the family: Transfer RNA (tRNA) molecules are approximately 80 nucleotides in length. Their secondary structure includes four short double-helical elements and three loops (D, anti-codon, and T loops). Lineage: Duplodnaviria; Heunggongvirae; Uroviricota; Caudoviricetes. The record is from RNAcentral.
UGGCUGUCGGCUUGACGGUGAAGCGCCGACUGUUGUGCUAUGUUCGUUUAAAGGUUUAGGUUUGGGUCGGAGCCGCGGGUUCGAUUCCCGCACAGCCAG